Molecule: ribosomal RNA, 139 nt
Filed under: uncultured bacterium
Lineage: Bacteria
Description: partial 16S ribosomal RNA
Rfam family: Bacterial small subunit ribosomal RNA
Source: RNAcentral
UGGGGAAUAUUGCACAAUGGGGGGAAAACCCUGAUGCAGCGACGCCGCGUGAGCGAUGAAGUAUUUCGGUAUGUAAAGCUCUAUCAGCAGGGAAGAAAAUGACGGUACCUGACUAAGAAGCACCGGCUAAAUACGUGCC